RNAcentral lists this ribosomal RNA (253 nucleotides) under uncultured bacterium. RNAcentral's name for it is "partial 16S ribosomal RNA". It matches the Rfam family "Bacterial small subunit ribosomal RNA", at positions 524 to 776 of the family's 1533-position model. The record is from RNAcentral.
UACGAAGGGGGCUAGCGUUGUUCGGAAUUACUGGGCGUAAAGCGCACGUAGGCGGACUUUUAAGUCAGGGGUGAAAUCCCGGGGCUCAACCUCGGAACUGCCUUUGAUACUGGAAGGCUUGAGUAUGGAAGAGGUAAGUGGAAUUGCGAGUGUAGAGGUGAAAUUCGUAGAUAUUCGCAGGAACACCAGUGGCGAAGGCGGCUUACUGGUCCAUUACUGACGCUGAGGUGCGAAAGCGUGGGGAGCAAACAGG